GAUGAACGCUGGCGGUCUGCUUAACACAUGCAAGUCGAACGAACUCUUCGGAGUGAGUGGCGGACGGGUGAGUAACGCGUGAGGAAUCUGGCUGUGGGUCGGGGACAACCACUGGGAAACGGUGGCUAAUACCGGGAUGAAGCCGAAAGGUAAAGAUUUAUUGCCCACAGAUGAGCUCGGCGUCUGAUUAGCUAGUUGGUAAGGUAAAGCGUACCAAGGCGACGAUCAGUAGCUGGUCUGAGAGGAUGAGCAGCCACACUGGGACUGAGACACGGCCCAGACUCCUAC
Molecule: ribosomal RNA, 288 nt
Filed under: uncultured cyanobacterium
Lineage: Bacteria; Bacillati; Cyanobacteriota
Description: partial 16S ribosomal RNA
Rfam family: Bacterial small subunit ribosomal RNA
Source: RNAcentral